Long non-coding RNA from Leptidea sinapis, 480 nucleotides. RefSeq lists it as uncharacterized. The record is from RefSeq and is a predicted model, not a curated record. The transcript has 2 exons. Lineage: Eukaryota; Metazoa; Arthropoda; Insecta; Lepidoptera; Pieridae.
ACGAAUUUUAAUCAAAGUUCUAUAAUAAGAAACAAUGGUUUAUUCAUAUUAAUUGGUCAGUCACGCCGUGUGAACAAGAGAUAAACAUAGAAAUGUUGUUGAGAUUAUUAAUUAUUUGCAUUGCUAUAUUAUAUGUUCCAAACACAAAUGGACGUAGAUUGCCACACAGCUAUAGAAAGAGAAGUCUAAAUAUGCUGAGUCGCGCGCUACAACUGCAUAAUCAUUACUACCACGUGGAUUCCUACGAGAACCAUCAGGUUCGAAGGAAAUAUGAGCAUGAAAACGAGGAUUUAAUCAACAAUAUAUUCGACAAUGAUGGCGCUGCAUACAUUACCAAGCCUAAGUUGGACGCAGAAAGAGUUAUUAAUAAUCUGUUGAACGAUAUCAUAGAGUUAAAGGUUAAUCAAAUUGACAGACAAAAUGGCGGCUAUAUAAGUGACGAUUAAACAAUUAUUUACAAUUGAAUUUUAAAUUACUGCA